GGCUGUGAGCCAUGGGAAGCGUGUCAACCAUGUCAAACCAAAGGAUCAAGAAAUUGAAGAUUCCGUUCACUUGCCUUGGAGUUUGAGCAGGACAUCACAACUAUUUCUAAGUAAGAAGCCACCGUCUUCCUGGCUCGAGAGUCAGAGAAUGGAGUUUGAAGCUACCAAAGCAGCUAAAAAGUGAAGAAGGGAGUGAAGGGAAAUCCAAGAAACUGGAUCACAGAGAAAUGCCCCAU
Molecule: long non-coding RNA, 236 nt
Filed under: Homo sapiens (human)
Lineage: Eukaryota; Metazoa; Chordata; Mammalia; Primates; Hominidae
Description: HSALNT0065307
Source: RNAcentral